RNAcentral lists this ribosomal RNA (559 nucleotides) under Pichia membranifaciens. RNAcentral describes it as "LSU rRNA". It matches the Rfam family "Eukaryotic large subunit ribosomal RNA", at positions 81 to 668 of the family's 3401-position model. Lineage: Eukaryota; Fungi; Ascomycota; Pichiomycetes; Pichiales; Pichiaceae. The record is from RNAcentral.
CAGUAGCGGCGAGUGAGCGGCAGAGCUCAGAUUUGAAAUCGUGUUUCGGCACGAGUUGUAGAGUGUAGGCGGGAGUCUCUGUGGAGCGCGGUGUCCAAGUCCCUUGGAACAGGGUGCCUGAGAGGGUGAGAGCCCCGUAGGGUGCUGCGCGAAGCUUUUGAGGCCCUGCUGACGAGUCGAGUUGUUUGGGAAUGCAGCUCCAAGCGGGUGGUAAAUUCCAUCUAAGGCUAAAUAUUGGCGAGAGACCGAUAGCGAACAAGUACUGUGAAGGAAAGAUGAAAAGCACUUUGAAAAGAGAGUGAAACAGCACGUGAAAUUGUUGAAAGGGAAGGGUAUUGGGCUCGACAUGGGGGGUGCGCACCGCUGUCUCUUGUAGGCGGCGCUCUGGGCGCCCUCUGGGCCAGCAUCGGUUCCUGCUGCGGGAGAAGGGGCUCCGGAAAGUGGCUCUUCGGAGUGUUAUAGCCGGGGCCAGAUGCCGCGUGUGGGGACCGAGGACUGCGGCUUCUGUCUCGGAUGCUGGCAUAACGGCGCAAUACCGCCCGUCUUGACCCCCGGACCA